GUCUACGAGAGUAGUUGUACUCGUGCUAGGAUGAACGCUAGCUACAGGCUUAACACAUGCAAGUCGAGGGGCAGCAUUGGAGUAGCAAUACUCAGAUGGCGACCGGCGCACGGGUGAGUAACACGUAUCCAACCUGCCGCUUACUCGGGGAUAGCCUUUCGAAAGAAAGAUUAAUACCCGAUGGUAUAAAGAGUUCGCAUGUUCUCUUAUUAAAGAAUUUCGGUAAGCGAUGGGGAUGCGUUCCAUUAGAUAGUUGGCGGGGUAACGGCCCACCAAGUCUACGAUGGAUAGGGGUUCUGAGAGGAAGGUCCCCCACAUUGGAACUGAGACACGGUCCAAACUCCUACGGGAGGCAGCAGUGAGGAAUAUUGGUCAAUGGACGAGAGUCUGAACCAGCCAAAAGUAGCGUGAAGGAUGACUGCCCUAUGGGUUGUAAACUUCUUUUAUAAGGGAAUAAAGUGAGGGACGUGUCCCUUUUUGUAUGUACCUUAUGAAUAAGGAUCGGCUAACUCCGUGCCAGCCGCCGC
Molecule: ribosomal RNA, 527 nt
Filed under: uncultured bacterium
Lineage: Bacteria
Description: bacterial SSU rRNA
Rfam family: Bacterial small subunit ribosomal RNA
Source: RNAcentral